GCACCACUCCUCCCUCUCCUUUAAACACCACCUGCAUGAGCAGCAGCAGAAAGACUGUUUCUACUGAUCGUUGUACAUAGUGUUUUUAAAUGGCUCUCUUGGGUUCUGUUUUAAUCCCAUCUAAAGGAAGGAGAAGACAGAAGUAAAACCAUGAUAUCAACACGGUGUGGGAUGUAUUCUAAGGAACACGUAAAGCUCUGUUGCUCUGCAUCCUAAAUGGCGCCCUAUUCCCUACAUAGGGAUCUACUUUGUGACCAGGGCCCAUAGGAGAGAUCUGUUCAAAAGUAGUGCACUAUAUAGGAAAUAGGGUACCCUUUAGGAUGCACACUUUGCUCUGUUCUGUUACCGAAUGAAUACAUUGCAAAUGUAACAUUCCUCAGUGCCUGUCCAUAACUGUGUAGCCUGGUCCCAGAUCAGUUUGUAUUGUCUUGUCUCAUUGUUGACCGUACAGUAGGAGUUGGCUUGGCAAGAACGCAUAAACUGAUCUGGGACAGGCUAAUAUCUGUGAACUGUCAAAGCACUUAGGGCCAGAAGCACUGGUACUCUGCAGGUCUGACAAACAAACAGGUCCUUAAAUAAUAUAUUUUAGUUGUAGGUUCUAGAUGGAUUAUUAUUACAGCUGACAUUAACAUAUAUCUAUUUUUUGUAAGAUGAUGAGAGACAUUAUUUUAAAGGAUUACUCCAGGCUUUUUUUGUUCCCCCUCAGAGGCUUAUUUAUAUCAAGGAAGCUUUUAGUUUUCAUAAUUUUUGUUCGAUUUUAAUUGUCAGCGCUGUAGUGUAAAUAACUUUUUGUAAGGAGAAAAACUUGUAGUGUGAUUUCUACAUAAAGAUGGACCUCUUAAUAAAGGUUAACGUUAUGAGUGAUGUUUGAUCAUGGGGCUACAGUGGACACCAGAUGGACCUCUUAAUAAAGGUUAACGUUAUGAGUGAUGUUUGAUCAUGGGGCUACAGUGGACACCAGAUGGACCUCUUAAUAAAGGUUAACGUUAUGAGUGAUGUUUGAUCAUGGGGCUACAGUGGACACCAGAUGGACCUCUUAAUAAAGGUUAACGUUA
Salmo salar (Atlantic salmon) is the source of this 1055-nucleotide non-coding RNA. The record is from RefSeq and is a predicted model, not a curated record. NCBI's taxonomy places the organism in Eukaryota, Metazoa, Chordata, Actinopteri, Salmoniformes, Salmonidae.